GACGAACGCUGGCGGCGUGCCUAAUACAUGCAAGUUGAGCGCUGAAGGUUGGUACUUGUACCAACUGGAUGAGCAGCGAACGGGUGAGUAACGCGUGGGGAGUCUGCCUUUGAGCGGGGGACAACAUUUGGAAACGAAUGCUAAUACCGCAUAAAAACUUUAAACACAAGUUUUAAGUUUGAAAGAUGCAAUUGCAUCACUCAAAGAUGAUCCCGCGUUGCAUUAGCUAGUUGGUGAGGUAAAGGCUCACCAAGGCGAUGAUACAUAGCCGACCUGAGAGGGUGAUCGGCCACAUUGGGACUGAGACACGGCCCAAACUCCUACGGGAGGCAGCAGUAGGGAAUCUUCGGCAAUGGACGAAAGUCUGACCGAGCAACGCCGCGUGAGUGAAGAAGGUUUUCGGAUCGUAAAACUCUGUUGGUAGAGAAGAACGUUGGUGAGAGUGGAAAGCUCAUCAAGUGACGGUAACUACCCAGAAAGGGACGGCUAACUACGUG
This 497-nucleotide ribosomal RNA is filed under the name uncultured bacterium. RNAcentral's name for it is "partial 16S ribosomal RNA". It matches the Rfam family "Bacterial small subunit ribosomal RNA", at positions 28 to 507 of the family's 1533-position model. The record is from RNAcentral.